Long non-coding RNA from Bubalus bubalis (water buffalo), 554 nucleotides. RefSeq lists it as uncharacterized. Lineage: Eukaryota; Metazoa; Chordata; Mammalia; Artiodactyla; Bovidae. The record is from RefSeq and is a predicted model, not a curated record. The transcript has 2 exons.
UGCAAGGCGGGGCCACAGCGCCCACCCCCGAGCUGGGCCUGGGGGUAGGGGCGGGGCCAUCGUGCGGCCUUCACCCGGCUGCCCCCUCCCCUGCGGAACCGAAAAGUCGGUGUGUGCAGCGGGCUUGGGAGACCAGGCCGCCCGGGGUUUGAGUCCAGGGGCUGCCACUUGCUAACCUACAGCCCAGAACCAGGGAGGGCCUCCUGAAGCCUCUGUCUUCAUCUAAACAAUGAGGCAGUGACGAGCUCUAUCCAUGGAGGGCCUCUCAGAGUGGUACCCUCCACAACUCACUGCAGCUGCGUGAGAUCCAAGAGGCCAUUUCAUUUUUCAGAAUGCCAGAGGUAGAGUCAGAGGAGGCAGGAGUGAGUCUGUAGCCCAACCAGAGAGGGAGAAAGGGGAACUGCAACGGGGAGUGAGAAGAAGAAGCCCCAAAUGGACACAAGGAUGGACCUCUUGGAUGCACAUCAAGCCAGGAAGCCUCAUCUAGGCCAAGAACAAACAAAUACCAAAAAUGAGGAAUAGAUAUUCCUCUCUGCCUAGCUCUGCCCAGGGAC